CCCAGUCAGUGGUAAUACUGGGGCAAACCUGUAGGACGAGUGAUAGGCAAAUCCGUCACUCACAUGUCUGAGAGGAGAUGCAUAGCCGAUUGAGGCGAAUUCGGUGAUCCUAUGCUGUCGAGAAAAGCCUCUAGCGAGCACACACAUGGCCCGUACCCCAAACCAACACAGGUGGUCAGGUAGAGAAUACCAAGGCGUACGAGUGAACUAUGGUUAAGGAACUCGGCAAAAUGCCCCCGUAACUUCGGGAGAAGGGGGACCCCCAUACCGUCAAGGCCCACGCGGCCGGCAGCGGGCGGGGGUGGCACAAACCAGUGAGAAGCGACUGUUUACUAAAAACACAGGUCCGUGCGAAGUCGCAAGACGAUGUAUACGGACUGACGCCUGCCCGGUGCUGGAAGGUUAAGAGGACCGGUUAACCCUUCGGGGUGAAGCUGAGAAUUUAAGCCCCAGUAAACGGCGGUGGUAACUAUAACCAUCCUAAGGUAGCGAAAUUCCUUGUCGGGUAAGUUCCGACCUGCACGAAUGGCGUAACGACUUCUCAACUGUCUCAACCAUAGACUCGGCGAAAUUGCAUUACGAGUAAAGAUGCUCGUUACGCGCGGCAGGACGAAAAGACCCCGGGACCUUCACUACAACUUGGUAUUGGUGCUCGAUACGUUUUGUGUAGGAUAGGUGGGAGACUAUGAAGCGGUCACGCCAGUGAUCGUGGAGUCGUUGUUGAAAUACCACUCUGAUCGUAUUGGGCCUCUAACUUCGAACCGUAUAUCCGGUUCAGGGACAGUGCCUGGUGGGUAGUUUAACUGGGGCGGUUGCCUCCUAAAAAGUAACGGAGGCGCCCAAGGGUUCCCUCAACCUGGACGGUAAUCAGGUGUUGAGUGUAAGUGCACAAGGGAGCUUGACUGCGAGACAUACAUGUCAAGCAGGGACGAAAGUCGGGACUAGUGAUCCGGCACCCCCGAGUGGAAGGGGUGUCGCUCAACGGAUAAAAGGUACCCCGGGGAUAACAGGCUGAUCUUCCCCAAGAGUCCAUAUCGACGGGAUGGUUUGGCACCUCGAUGUCGGCUCGUCGCAUCCUGGGGCUGGAGCAGGUCCCAAGGGUUGGGCUGUUCGCCCAUUAAAGCGGCACGCGAGCUGGGUUUAGAACGUCGUGAGACAGUUCGGUCUCUAUCCGCCGCGCGCGUCAGAAGCUUGAGGAAAUCUGUCCCUAGUACGAGAGGACCGGGACGGACGAACCUCUGGUACACCAGUUGUCCCACCAGGGGCACCGCUGGAUAGCUACGUUCGGACAGGAUAACCGCUGAAAGCAUCUAAGCGGGAAACCCCCUCCAAGACCAGGCUUCUCACCCAUUAAGUGGGAUAAGGCCCCCCGCAGACUAC
Molecule: ribosomal RNA, 1380 nt
Filed under: metagenome
Description: bacterial LSU rRNA
Rfam family: Bacterial large subunit ribosomal RNA
Source: RNAcentral